UUUGCUGAGGUUUAGAAACAUUUUUGAUUGUCAGUCUUGGCUAAACUUAGUGAUUUGGCUUUAAUUCUGUCUAAGAGGGUAAGAUUGUUCAGAAAAAAAUGGUUGAAGCAAUUAUAGUAUCAGUGAGUUUCUGAUUUUUUUGUUGUUUGGUUCAAUAGGAGUUUCAAUGCACUGUGUGAGGGAAGAACAUUCCGCUGUCAAUAUGAACCUCCACUACUUGGAAAAUGGCACUGUUAUGUUGAACUUUAUUUACCGGAAGGAACUGUUUUUUCUUCCUUUGGGAUUUGCACUUAAGGCACUUGUCAGCUUUUCUGAUUAUCAGAUCUUUCAGGAGCUCAUCAAAGGAAAAGAGGAUGAUUCUUUCCUUAGGAACUCUGUUUCUCAGAUGUUAAGGAUUGUAAUGGAAGAGGGUUGUUCGACACAAAAACAGGUCCUUAACUACCUAGGUGAAUGCUUCAGAGUAAAACUCAAUGUUCCUGACUGGUAUCCAAAUGAGCAAGCUGCGGAGUUCCUGUUCAACCAGUGCAUCUGUAUCCACUUGAAAUCCAAUACUGAAAAGUUUUAUAUGCUUUGUCUCAUGACGCGAAAGCUCUUUGCUUUAGCCAAAGGAGAGUGCAUGGAGGACAAUCCUGAUAGUUUAGUGAACCAAGAAGUCCUCACACCGGGUCAGCUCUUCCUU
RNAcentral lists this small RNA (679 nucleotides) under Pongo abelii (Sumatran orangutan). RNAcentral describes it as "retained intron". The record is from RNAcentral. Lineage: Eukaryota; Metazoa; Chordata; Mammalia; Primates; Hominidae.